GAUGAACGCUAGCGGCAGGCUUAACACAUGCAAGUCGAGGGGUAUAGUUCUUCGGGAUUAGAGACCGGCGCACGGGUGCGUAACGCGUAUGCAAUCUACCUUUUACAGAGGGAUAGCCCAGAGAAAUUUGGAUUAAUACCUCAUAGUAUGCAGAGUUGGCAUCAAACACUGCAUUAAAGUCACAACGGUAAAAGAUGAGCAUGCGUCCCAUUAGCUAGUUGGUAAGGUAACGGCUUACCAAGGCUACGAUGGGUAGGGGUCCUGAGAGGGAGAUCCCCCACACUGGUACUGAGACACGGACCAGACUCCUACGGGAGGCAGCAGUGAGGAAUAUUGGACAAUGGGCGCAAGCCUGAUCCAGCCAUGCCGCGUGCAGGAUGACGGU
RNAcentral lists this ribosomal RNA (385 nucleotides) under uncultured bacterium. RNAcentral describes it as "bacterial SSU rRNA". It matches the Rfam family "Bacterial small subunit ribosomal RNA", at positions 28 to 415 of the family's 1533-position model. The record is from RNAcentral.